UCAACCAGGUCAGAGUCCAAACAGUACCAGGCGAUAGGCAGGCAGAGUGGUUCAGGCAGGCGGGCUCAGAGUCAGGACAGGCAAGGGUCAAAACCCAGGAGGGCAAGAAAAGAGAGACUGGAAAAAGCAGGAGCUGAGACACAAAAACGCUGGUUGUCUUGACAAACAAGACUAACUGUCACAGAGAGACAGGAAACACAGGGAUAAAUACACCGGGGAUAAUAAGAGAUACCUGGAGGGGGGUGGAGACCAGCAGAGUGACAGGUGAAACUCAUCAGGGCGUGACUGUGUCAGGAACAAACAACUACUUAGCCCCUUCAGGUUCAGGUUGAAACCAAGGUUUCAAUACCCCAACCCGCUGAAGCCGCAAGGCAGGAGAAUGGUUUCGGAGACUGAGGGUUUGACAGAGGAACUGUAGAGGCAGGAAGUAGGGAGAAUGGUUUCGGAGACAGAGGGUUUGACUGAGGAACUGUAGAGACAGGAGGUAUGGAGAAUGGUUUCGGAGACUGAGGGUUUGACAGAGGAACUGUAGAGGCAGGAGGUAUGGAGAAUGGUUUCGGAGACUGAGGGUUUGACAGAGGAACUGUAGAGGCAGGAGGUAUGGAGAAUGGUUUUGGAGACUGAGGGUUUGACUGAGGAACUGUAGAGGCAGGAAGUAUGGAGAAUGGUUUCGGAGACUGAGGGUUUGACAGAGGAACUGUAGAGGCAGGAGGUAUGGAGAAUGGUUUCGGAGACAGAGGGUUUGACAGAGGAACUGUAGAGGCAGGAAGUAUGGAGAAUGGUUUUGGAGACUGAGGGUUUGACUGAGGAACUGUAGAGGCAGGAAGUAGGGAGAAUGGUUUCGGAGACUGAGGGUUUGACUGAGGAACUGUAGAGGCAGGAAGUAGGGAGAAUGGUUUCGGAGACUGAGGGUUUGACAGAGGAACUGUAGAGGCAGGAGGUAUGGAGAAUGGUUUUGGAGACUGAGGGUUUGACAGAGGAGAGGCAGGAGGUAAGGAGAAUGGUUUCGGAGACUGAGGGUUUGACAGAGGAACUGUAGAGGCAGGAGGUAUGGAGAAUGGUUUUGGAGACUGAGGGUUUGACAGAGGAGAGGCAGGAGGUAAGGAGAAUGGUUUCGGAGACUGAGGGUUUGACAGAGGAACUAUAGAGGCAAGAGGUAUGGAGAAUGGUUUUGGAGACUGAGGGUUUGACAGAGGAGAGGCAGGAGGUAUGGAGAAUGGUUUCGGAGACUGAGGGUGUCAGGCUUCACAUUUUUGGACCCUGGGCGGUAUGAAAUGGUGAAAUUGAAUCUGGUAAAUAACAAAGCCCACCGGGCCUGCCUGGAGUAAAGGCACUUGGCUGAACGGAGAUAUUCCACAUUUUUAUGGUCUGUCCAAACCAGGAAUGGCUGUUCUGGUCUUUCCAGCCAGUGCCUCCACUCUUCCAACGCCAUCUUGACCGCCAGGAGUUCUCGGUUGCCAUAGUUCCUCUCUGCAGGAUUGAGACGAUAGACAGGAAGGCACAGGGAUCAAGCUUCUGUUCCUCGUCAGAUCGCUGAGACAGGAUGCCCCC
Molecule: long non-coding RNA, 1551 nt
Organism: Oncorhynchus keta (chum salmon)
Lineage: Eukaryota; Metazoa; Chordata; Actinopteri; Salmoniformes; Salmonidae
Exons: 3
Source: RefSeq, a predicted model, not a curated record